RNAcentral lists this ribosomal RNA (207 nucleotides) under uncultured bacterium. RNAcentral describes it as "partial 16S ribosomal RNA". It matches the Rfam family "Bacterial small subunit ribosomal RNA", at positions 568 to 774 of the family's 1533-position model. The record is from RNAcentral.
UGCGUAGACGGGAAUACAAGUUAGUUGUGAAAUACCUCGGCUUAACUGAGGAACUGCAACUAAAACUAUAUUUCUUGAGUACAGGAGAGGUAAGUGGAAUUCCUAGUGUAGCGGUGAAAUGCGUAGAUAUUAGGAGGAACACCAGUGGCGAAGGCGACUUACUGGACUGAAACUGACGUUGAGGCACGAAAGUGUGGGGAGCAAACA